AACGAACGCUGGCGGCAUGCCUAACACAUGCAAGUCGAACGAAACCUUCGGGUCUAGUGGCGCACGGGUGCGUAACGCGUGGGAACCUGCCCUUAGGUUCGGAAUAACUCCCCGAAAGGGGUGCUAAUACCGGAUAAGGUCUUCGGACCAAAGAUUUAUCGCCUUUGGAUGGGCCCGCGUUGGAUUAGCUAGUUGGUAGGGUAAAGGCCUACCAAGGCGACGAUCCAUAGCUGGUCUGAGAGGAUGAUCAGCCACACUGGGACUGAGACACGGCCCAGACUCCUACGGGAGGCAGCAGUGGGGAAUAUUGGACAAUGGGCGAAAGCCUGAUCCAGCCAUGCCGCGUGAGUGAUGAAGGCCUUAGGGUUGUAAAGCUCUUUUACCCGGGAUGAUAAUGACAGUACCGGGAGAAUAAGCUCCGGCUAACUCCGUG
RNAcentral lists this ribosomal RNA (433 nucleotides) under uncultured bacterium. RNAcentral's name for it is "partial 16S ribosomal RNA". It matches the Rfam family "Bacterial small subunit ribosomal RNA", at positions 29 to 507 of the family's 1533-position model. The record is from RNAcentral.